This 301-nucleotide ribosomal RNA is filed under the name uncultured bacterium. RNAcentral's name for it is "partial 16S ribosomal RNA". It matches the Rfam family "Bacterial small subunit ribosomal RNA", at positions 509 to 807 of the family's 1533-position model. The record is from RNAcentral.
CAGUCGCCGCGGUAAAACGUAGGGUGCAAGCGUUAAUCGGAAUUACUGAGCGUAAAGCGUGCGCAGGCGGUUAUAUAAGACAGAUGUGAAAUCCCCGGGCUCAACCUGGGAACUGCAUUUGUGACUGUAUAGCUAGAGUACGGCAGAGGGGGAUGGAAUUCCGCGUGUAGCAGUGAAAUGCGUAGAUAUGCGGAGGAACACCGAUGGCGAAGGCAAUCCCCUGGGCCUGUACUGACGCUCAUGCACGAAAGCGUGGGGAGCAAACAGGAUUAGAUACCCCCGUAGUCCCUGUCUCUUAUAC